AGAGUUUGAUCCUGGCUCAGAUUGAACGCUGGCGGCAGGCCUAACACAUGCAGUCGAGCGGAUGAGUGGAGCUUGCUCCAUGAUUCAGCGGCGGACGGGUGAGUAAUGCCUAGGAAUCUGCCUGGUAGUGGGGGACAACGUUUCGAAAGGAACGCUAAUACCGCAUACGUCCUACGGGAGAAAGCAGGGGACCUUCGGGCCUUGCGCUAUCAGAUGAGCCUAGGUCGGAUUAGCUAGUUGGUGAGGUAACGGCUCACCAAGGCGACGAUCCGUAACUGGUCUGAGAGGAUGAUCAGUCACACUGGAACUGAGACACGGUCCAGACUCCUACGGGAGGCAGCAGUGGGGAAUAUUGGACAAUGGGCGAAAGCCUGAUCCAGCCAUGCCGCGUGUGUGAAGAAGGUCUUCGGAUUGUAAAGCACUUUAAGUUGGGAGGAAGGGCAUUAACCUAAUACGUUAGUGUUUUGACGUUACCGACAGAAUAAGCACCGGCUAACUUCGUGCCAGCAGCCGCGGUAAUA
RNAcentral lists this ribosomal RNA (521 nucleotides) under uncultured Pseudomonas sp. Its description in RNAcentral is "bacterial SSU rRNA". It matches the Rfam family "Bacterial small subunit ribosomal RNA", at positions 8 to 525 of the family's 1533-position model. Lineage: Bacteria; Pseudomonadati; Pseudomonadota; Gammaproteobacteria; Pseudomonadales; Pseudomonadaceae. The record is from RNAcentral.